Molecule: ribosomal RNA, 447 nt
Filed under: uncultured bacterium
Lineage: Bacteria
Description: partial 16S ribosomal RNA
Rfam family: Bacterial small subunit ribosomal RNA
Source: RNAcentral
AGCGAACGCUGGCGGCAGGCUUAACACAUGCAAGUCGAACGCCCCGCAAGGGGAGUGGCAGACGGGUGAGUAACACGUGGGAACGUACCCUUUGGCUCGGAAUAACUUGGGGAGACUCAAGCUAAUACCGGAUAAGCCCUUAUGGGGAAAGGUUUACUGCCGAAGGAUCGGCCCGCGUCUGAUUAGCUAGUUGGUGAGGUAAUGGCUCACCAAGGCGACGAUCAGUAGCUGGUCUGAGAGGAUGAUCAGCCACACUGGGACUGAGACACGGCCCAGACUCCUACGGGAGGCGGCAGUGGGGAAUAUUGGACAAUGGGGGCAACCCUGAUCCAGCCAUGCCGCGUGAGUGAUGAAGGCCUUAGGGUUGUAAAGCUCUUUUACCCGGGACGAUAAUGACUGUACCGGGAGAAUAAGCCCCGGCUAACUUCGUGCCAGCCGCCGCAGUAA